This 155-nucleotide signal recognition particle RNA is filed under the name Clostridium sp. RNAcentral's name for it is "partial signal recognition particle sRNA large type". It matches the Rfam family "Bacterial large signal recognition particle RNA", at positions 1 to 155 of the family's 256-position model. Rfam says of the family: The signal recognition particle (SRP) is a universally conserved ribonucleoprotein involved in the co-translational targeting of proteins to membranes. Archaeal SRP consists of a 7S RNA and homologues of the eukaryotic SRP19 and SRP54 proteins. Lineage: Bacteria; Bacillati; Bacillota; Clostridia; Eubacteriales; Clostridiaceae. The record is from RNAcentral.
CCGCGCAGCCGGGGAGAUAGCGGUGCCCUGAACCUGCAAUCCGCUCCAGCAGGGGUGAUACCUUGCCUCGGGCAGAACAUUGCGGAGCUGCCUUAUGUAAGUGGCGUUGACGUUUGGGUCUUACGCAACGGGAAUCUGUGAACCGUGUCAGGACA